RNAcentral lists this ribosomal RNA (301 nucleotides) under uncultured bacterium. RNAcentral describes it as "partial 16S ribosomal RNA". It matches the Rfam family "Bacterial small subunit ribosomal RNA", at positions 509 to 807 of the family's 1533-position model. The record is from RNAcentral.
CAGUAGCCGCGGUAAUACGUAGGGUGCAAGCGUUAAUCGGAAUUACUGGGCGUAAAGCGUGCGCAGGCGGUUAUAUAAGACAGAUGUGAAAUCCCCGGGCUCAACCUGGGAACUGCAUUUGUGACUGUAUAGCUAGAGUACGGCAGAGGGGGAUGGAAUUCCGCGUGUAGCUGUGAAAUGCGUAGAUAUGCGGAGGAACACCGAUGGCGAAGGCAAUCCCCUGGGCCUGUACUGACGCUCAUGCACGAAAGCGUGGGGAGCAAACAGGAUUAGAUACCCCAGUAGUCCCUGUCUCUUAUAC